Molecule: ribosomal RNA, 505 nt
Filed under: uncultured bacterium
Lineage: Bacteria
Description: partial 16S ribosomal RNA
Rfam family: Bacterial small subunit ribosomal RNA
Source: RNAcentral
AUUGAACGCUGGCGGCAGGCCUAACACAUGCAAGUCGAACGGUAGCACAGAGGAGCUUGCUCCUCGGGUGACGAGUGGCGGACGGGUGAGUAAUGUCUGGGGAUCUGCCCGAUAGAGGGGGAUAACCACUGGAACCGGUGGCUAAUACCGCAUAACGUCGCAAGACCAAAGAGGGGGACCUUCGGGCCUCUCACUAUCGGAUGAACCCAGAUGGGAUUAGCUAGUAGGCGGGGCAACGGCCCACCUAGGCGACGAUCCCUAGCUGGUCUGAGAGGAUGACCAGCCACACUGGAACUGAGGCACGGUCCAGACUCCUACGGGAGGCAGCAGUGGGGAAUAUUGCACAAUGGCGCAAGCCUGAUGCAGCCAUGCCGCGUGUAUGAAGAAGGCCUUCGGGUUGUAAAGUACUUUCAGCGGGGAGGAAGGCGAUGUGGUUAAUAACCGCAUUGAUUGACGUUACCCGCAGAAGAAGCACCGGCUAACUCCGUGCCAGCCGCCGCCGCAG